CCUACGUGUGGCAGCAGUGAGGAAUAUUGGUCAAUGGGCGGAAGCCUGAACCAGCCAAGUCGCGUGAGGGAUUAAGGCCCUGCGGGUCGUAAACCUCUUUUGCCGGGGAGCAGAGGUCCGGACGUGUCCGGGCCGGGAGAGUACCCGGAGAAAAAGCAUCGGCUAACUCCGUGCAAGCAGCCGCGGUAAUACGGAGGAUGCGAGCGUUAUCCGGAUUUAUUGGGUUUAAAGGGUGCGUAGGCGGGCAUUUAAGCCGGCGGUCAAAUUUCGGGGCUCAACCCCGGCCUGCCGGCGGAACGGGGGGCAUUGAGUGGGCGAGAAGUAUGCGGAAUGCGUGGUGUAGCGGUGAAAUGCAUAGAUAUCACGCAGAACCCCGAUUGCGAAGGCAGCAUACCGGCGCCCUACUGACGCUGAGGCACGAAAGUGCGGGUAUCGAACAGGAUUAGAUACCCCAGUAGUC
Molecule: ribosomal RNA, 460 nt
Filed under: uncultured bacterium
Lineage: Bacteria
Description: partial 16S ribosomal RNA
Rfam family: Bacterial small subunit ribosomal RNA
Source: RNAcentral